ACGCCGUGGAGGGCUGUAAGUAAGCUUUGAUCCAGAGAUUUCCGAAUGGGGAAACCCAGCAUGAGUUAUGUCAUGUUAUCGAUAUGUGAAUACAUAGCAUAUCAGAAGGCACACCCGGAGAACUGAAACAUCUUAGUACCCGGAGGAAGAGAAAGAAAAUUCGAUUCCCUUAGUAGCGGCGAGCGAAACGGGAAGAGCCCAAACCAACAAGCUUGCUUGUUGGGGUUGUAGGACACUCUAUACGGAGUUACAAAGGACGACAUUAGACGAAUCAUCUGGAAAGAUGAAUCAAAGAAGGUAAUAAUCCUGUAGUCGAAAAUGUUGUCUCUCUUGAGUGGAUCCUGAGUACGACGGAGCACGUGAAAUUCCGUCGGAAUCUGGGAGGACCAUCUCCUAAGGCUAAAUACUCUCUAGUGACCGAUAGUGAACCAGUACCGUGAGGGAAAGGUGAAAAGCACCCCGGAAGGGGAGUGAAAUAGAACCUGAAACCGUGUGCUUACAAGUAGUCAGAGCCCGUUCAUGGGUGAUGGCGUGCCUUUUGUAGAAUGACCCGGCGAGUUACGAUUUGAUGCAAGGUUAAGCAGUAAAUGUGGAGCCGUAGCGAAAGCGAGUC
RNAcentral lists this ribosomal RNA (613 nucleotides) under Klebsiella pneumoniae. RNAcentral describes it as "partial 23S ribosomal RNA". It matches the Rfam family "Bacterial large subunit ribosomal RNA", at positions 73 to 683 of the family's 2925-position model. Lineage: Bacteria; Pseudomonadati; Pseudomonadota; Gammaproteobacteria; Enterobacterales; Enterobacteriaceae. The record is from RNAcentral.